GCCGGCCUAGCUCAAUUGGUAGAGCAACUGACUUGUAAUCAGAGGGUUGGGGGUUCAAGUCCUCUGGCCGGCACCA
Molecule: transfer RNA, 76 nt
Filed under: Staphylococcus aureus
Lineage: Bacteria; Bacillati; Bacillota; Bacilli; Caryophanales; Staphylococcaceae
Description: tRNA-Thr
Rfam family: tRNA
About the family: Transfer RNA (tRNA) molecules are approximately 80 nucleotides in length.
Source: RNAcentral